Molecule: non-coding RNA, 148 nt
Filed under: Gorilla gorilla gorilla (western lowland gorilla)
Lineage: Eukaryota; Metazoa; Chordata; Mammalia; Primates; Hominidae
Source: Rfam by way of RNAcentral
GCUGGGUGUGGUGGUGCACACCUGCAGUCCCAGCUACUCUGGAGGCUGAGGCAGGAGAAUCACUUGAAUCUGGGAGGUGGAGGUUGCAGUGAGCCGAGAUCAUGCCACUGCACUCCAGCCUAGGUGACAGAGUGAGACUCUGUCUCAA